This 238-nucleotide ribosomal RNA is filed under the name uncultured bacterium. RNAcentral's name for it is "partial 16S ribosomal RNA". It matches the Rfam family "Bacterial small subunit ribosomal RNA", at positions 118 to 354 of the family's 1533-position model. The record is from RNAcentral.
UGAGCAAUCUGCCCUUCUCUUCGGAAUAAGCGUUGGAAACGACGUCUAAUGCCGAAUACGACCUCCUUUCGCAUGAUCGGAGGUGGAAAGCUCCGGCGGAGAAGGAUGAGCUCGCGGCCUAUCAGCUAGUUGGUGUGGGUAACGGCCCACCAAGGCGACGACGGGUAGUCGGCCUGAGAGGGCGACCGGCCACACUGGGACUGAGACACGGCCCAGACUCCGUACGGGAGGCAGCAGG